AGGCGGUGCAUGGCUGUCGGCAAUUCGUGUUUUGAUAUGUUUGGUUAAGUCCAGUAACGAAUGUAACCCUUAUAACUAAUUUAUUUAAAUUGUUAUUAAUAUUUAAAAAUUAUUAAUACAUUUAGAUUUAGUAUACUGCUGAAAAGCGCUCGGAUGAAGGUUAGGAUUAGGUCAAGUCGUUAUGCCCUUCAUAGAUUGGGCUUUACAUAUGAUACAAUGGUAGUCACAUAGAGAUGUGCGGCGUUAUUCCCAAACAAAUCUUUUAAAAACUGCCGUAGUUCGGAUUGCAACCUGAAACUUGGUUGCAUGAAGUCGGAAUAGCUAGUAUCGCUCAUCAGCACGGUGCGGUGAAUUUUCUUUAAUUCAAGUACAGACUGCCCGUCAGGCGUCUAAAGUUGGUUGUGGUGGAAAUUGGCGGGAUUUAUUUCACUUUUACAUUCGUUAAAAUGAUUCUGUUCUAGUUUUUGAAAUUAUACUAACGUGUUUUAUUGUUAAUCAUAUUAUCGCUUGCUAUGGAUGUUAAGUCGUAACACGGUCGGGCUAACGGAAGUUGUCCGGGACUAUUUAUCCU
RNAcentral lists this non-coding RNA (571 nucleotides) under Beta vulgaris subsp. vulgaris (sugar beet). RNAcentral's name for it is "Bacterial small subunit ribosomal RNA". It matches the Rfam family "Bacterial small subunit ribosomal RNA", at positions 1036 to 1533 of the family's 1533-position model. Lineage: Eukaryota; Viridiplantae; Streptophyta; Magnoliopsida; Caryophyllales; Amaranthaceae. The record is from Rfam by way of RNAcentral.